AGCUCCAAUAGCGUAUAUUAAAGUUGUUGCGGUUAAAACGCUCGUAGUUGGGUUUCUGUCGGACGCAUCAGGUCUGCCCAAGUGGCGAGUACUUGUUCUGUGUCUGGCAUCUUCUUGGGGAACGGGUGCGCACUUCAUUGUGUGGCUCGGAAACCUUGACGUUUACUUUGAGGAAAUGAGAGUGCUUCAAGCGGGUGUCCGCCACGAAUACGUUAGCAUGGAAUAAUAGCAUUGGACCUCGGAUCAUAGCUGUUGGUUGCUGGAACCGGGGUGAGGGUA
RNAcentral lists this ribosomal RNA (279 nucleotides) under uncultured eukaryote. RNAcentral describes it as "partial small subunit ribosomal RNA". It matches the Rfam family "Eukaryotic small subunit ribosomal RNA", at positions 587 to 870 of the family's 1831-position model. The record is from RNAcentral.